CCCAACUUCGAAAGACGGUAAAGUGGGCUGCGAUUAAUGUGUUAUUUAAAUUGUGCAAAAGGUGAGUAGAGUCGAGCAGAUCUAGAUCUAGAUCUGCCAAAAUCUCAACCCUCUCUCUAGCUCCCUCUCAGUCUCAGUCGAGAGAGACAUCUCUCUUCUCUAUUGGCUCACCGGCCGACUUCUAUGCUCUCUCGCCCUCUCUUUCUUCUCUUCGAGAUCGCCGAGGACUGGAAGGGUCAAGCUCACCGUCCAGAUCGAUGGCCAAGGAAGAGAAGAAAUUUGUGUUGUGUUUGAAGUGAUUUCUUGAAGGGCAGAGAAGAUCUUAUGUUAAUCGAACAGGUAUUGAAGGCUGUCAACAUUCUGAAUAGCAAGUGGAGGAAGCCAGAUGAGUUGGUUUACAUUGCCACCUAUGAUAUUCUUUUCAGCCAGAUUGAAAGACUUGCUGGAAUGUAGUUAAGUUCUAGAGUACAAGAAGUAAUGUUUUUAGUGGAGAAGCCAUAAGCAAGAAGCUUUUGAGCACCUCUUCCAAUUGCCGCUUAUUCGUAGAAGGUUUGCUGUAUCAAAGUAAGAGUUGCAGCCUUGGGGUGGAAGAGUCUUGAGAAGUUUAAAUUUUGAUGGUUUAUCUGUAAAUUUUUAGUUUAGGUAGUUUAAUUCAUGUAAAAAUACAGGUGAGUGUAGAGGUGCCAGUUGGCACCUUAGUUUUUUUAAUCUAGCUUAAUAAUUUUGCCACUGAUAUCAGUGGCAUUUCAAAACCAGCAAUACACACCAUUGACAGUUGCUUUGGCACUGAUUUAGAUGUAAUUAUGCAUUGGUUAAAGGUAUGACACUGUAAAAUUAUUGGUGUGUAAUGCCCCAUUAGCACCUACAAUAGAGGGGACUGAUUUUGCAUUAGUGGCUGUAUAGUGGCUACUGAGAUUAGCCACUUUUAUCAAUGUGUAUUGGGACAAUGGGGACUAUUUCAGAUCA
Molecule: long non-coding RNA, 966 nt
Organism: Rosa chinensis
Lineage: Eukaryota; Viridiplantae; Streptophyta; Magnoliopsida; Rosales; Rosaceae
Exons: 6
Source: RefSeq, a predicted model, not a curated record